Molecule: ribosomal RNA, 249 nt
Filed under: uncultured Rickettsiales bacterium
Lineage: Bacteria; Pseudomonadati; Pseudomonadota; Alphaproteobacteria; Rickettsiales
Description: partial 16S ribosomal RNA
Rfam family: Bacterial small subunit ribosomal RNA
Source: RNAcentral
UGGGGAAUAUUGGACAAUGGGGGCAACCCUGAUCCAGCAAUACCGCGUGAGUGAAGAAGGCCUUCGGGUUGUAAAGCUCUUUUACCGGGGAAGAUAAUGACGGUACCCGGGGAAUAAGCUCCGGCUAACUUCGUGCCAGCAGCCGCGGUAAUACGAAGGGAGCUAGCGUUGUUCGGAAUUACUGGGCGUAAAGGGCGCGUAGGCGGCUAUGUAAGUCAGAUGUGAAAGCCCCGGGCUCAACCUGGGAAC